GGAUUUAGUAGACAGAAGCUUCGGUGGAAGAUUACUAAUGAGAGUGGCGAACGGGUGAGUAACGCGUGAGCAACCUGCCUAUGACAGUGGGAUAGCCUCGGGAAACCGGGAUUAAUACCGCAUAAAAUCGUAGAAACACACGUUUUAGCGGUCAAAGAUUUAUCGGUCAUAGAUGGGCUCGCGUCUGAUUAGCUAGUUGGUGAGAUAACAGCCCACCAAGGCGACGAUCAGUAGCCGGUCUGAGAGGAUGAACGGCCACAUUGGAACUGAGACACGGUCCAAACUCCUACGGGAGGCAGCAGUGGGGAAUAUUGCACAAUGGGGGAAACCCUGAUGCAGCGACGCCGCGUGAACGAAGAAGGUAUUCGUAUCGUAAAGUUCUGUCCUAUGGGAAGAUAAUGACAGUACCAUAGAAGAAAGCUCCGGCUAAAUACGUGCCAGCAGCCGCGGUAAUACGUAUGGAGCGAGCGUUGUCCGGAAUUAUUGGGCGUAAAGGGUACGCAGGCGGUUUAAUAAGUCGAAUGUUAAAGAUCGGGGCUCAACCCCGUAAAGCAUUGGAAACUGAUAAACUUGAGUAGUGGAGAGGAAAGUGGAAUUCCUAGUGUAGUGGUGAAAUACGUAGAUAUUAGGAGGAAUACCAGUAGCGAAGGCGACUUUCUGGACACAAACUGACGCUGAGGUACGAAAGCGUGGGGAGCAAACAG
RNAcentral lists this ribosomal RNA (704 nucleotides) under uncultured Eubacteriales bacterium. RNAcentral describes it as "bacterial SSU rRNA". It matches the Rfam family "Bacterial small subunit ribosomal RNA", at positions 64 to 775 of the family's 1533-position model. The record is from RNAcentral. Lineage: Bacteria; Bacillati; Bacillota; Clostridia; Eubacteriales.